Nannospalax galili (Upper Galilee mountains blind mole rat) is the source of this 140-nucleotide non-coding RNA. Ensembl annotates it as predicted gene, 24644. The record is from Ensembl. NCBI's taxonomy places the organism in Eukaryota, Metazoa, Chordata, Mammalia, Rodentia, Spalacidae.
UGGCUCAGUUUCCUGGAGGGUGGACUCAGCCUACUCCACCCUUACUCAGCUGAGCCUAGAGUAGAGGGGCCAGGUGUCUACCUGUAUGGGAGAGGUUUUGAAGCAAGGAGCCUUGCCUGGACCGUCCUAGCCUCACAAUU